UCAAAAACCGAAGCAUGGUCAAGCGCCCCUAGCAUCACUUUUAUGACGCAAAAUGUGCCUCUCGGUGUCGAAUAUCGAAGCACUACGACCUUCAUUGCUUUCAAUGGGAAACUUUUGGCGUCAGAAUUCGACACGAGGACAUGAGAUGUUUAUCGCUAUGAAAUCACGUUCAAGAAGUCUCAUUCAGCACACAUCGCGAUACUUGCUAUCAGUUCCACAGUUUGGCUGAAAAGACGUAAAGGCAGUCAGCCCAGUGGUGUUUCUGGAGAGGGAUUCCUUCAGAAAUGGAGAAGACAGAAAGCUGCGGAGGCAGAUAUUUGCAGCAUGUUCGAGUGAGCAUGAUAACCACAAGUGUGUGUCGAACUUUUCAUGACCUGAUGACUGUGUUUCCCAGUCCUGAUCCUGGAGAACCCCAGCACUGCACGGUUUUGGUGUCUCUCUUUUCUGCCUUGGAGUCUUCACUGAUGAGCUGAUGAGUUGAAUCAGGUGUGUUUGAUCAGGGAGACAUCUCAAAUGUGCAGUGUUGGGCUUCUCCAGGACCAGGAUUGGGAGCCACUGCCUUAUGGGACACUUAUGUGUUUACAGAGAUUUUUAAUAUCUAAUUAUCAAUAUUUCACAUACUGUACAUUGGACAGCUUUCCGUGACCUCUUGUGAGAUCUCGGCAAAAAGUCUGACGAUUUAUUCCAAAACAUGAUGCAUGAUGGGAUACACUAAGCUUUGUAUAGCGCUCCAGAGCAGUAUUGGAGAGGUUUAGUGUGUGUUAAGGACGCUGUGCUUUGGCAUUAUUAAGACCGGGGACGGUCUCGUUCACACACUGUCAUGUACACACACUUGUGGUCAUCAUGUUCACUUGAACACUCACAAAUUAUAACAGCAGGAAUGUUUGAUAAAAUGGACAAACUAUCACAGACUUUCUGCUGCAAAUAUCUGCCUCCGCAGCUUUCUGC
Molecule: long non-coding RNA, 948 nt
Organism: Carassius gibelio (silver crucian carp)
Lineage: Eukaryota; Metazoa; Chordata; Actinopteri; Cypriniformes; Cyprinidae
Exons: 3
Source: RefSeq, a predicted model, not a curated record